RNAcentral lists this ribosomal RNA (542 nucleotides) under uncultured soil bacterium. RNAcentral's name for it is "bacterial SSU rRNA". It matches the Rfam family "Bacterial small subunit ribosomal RNA", at positions 35 to 575 of the family's 1533-position model. The record is from RNAcentral.
GCUGGCGGCGUGCUUAACACAUGCAAGUCGAGUGCGCGUCCCGGUCGCAAGACUGGGGUGGCGCACGGCGCACGGGUGCGUAACACGUGGGUAAUCUGCCCUCUGAUGGGGAAUAACUCGCCGAAAGGCGAGCUAAUUCCGCAUAACAUUCCGGGGACUUUGGUUCUUGGAUUCAAAGGCGUAAGUCGUCGGAGGAGGAGCCCGCGCACGAUUAGCUAGUUGGUGAGGUAAUGGCUCACCAAGGCUUUGAUCGUUAGCUGGUCUGAGAGGAUGGCCAGCCACACUGGAACUGAGACACGGUCCAGACUCCUACGGGAGGCAGCAGUGGGGAAUCUUGCACAAUGGGCGAAAGCCUGAUGCAGCGACGCCGCGUGGGGGAUGAAGCUUCUCGGAGUGUAAACCCCUUUCGACCCGGACGAAUGCCUCGCAAGAGGACUGACGGUACGGGUAUAAGAAGCCCCGGCUAACUACGUGCCAGCAGCCGCGGUAAGACGUAGGGGGCCAGCGUUGUUCGGAAUUACUGGGUGUAAAGGGUUCGUAGG